GUCCACGCCCUAACGAUGAUGACUAGUUGUUGGAGGAGUUAAAUCCUUUAGUAACGCAGCUAAUGCGAGAAGUCAUCCGCCUGGGGAGUACGGUCGCAAGAUUAAACUCAAAGGAAUUGACGGGGCCCGCACAAGCGGUGGAUGAUGUGGUUUAAUUCGAUGCAACGCGAAAACCUUACCUACCCUUGACAUGUACGGAAUCCUGCAGAGAUGCAGGAGUGCCCGAAAGGGAGCCGUAACACAGGUGCUGCAUGGCUGUCGU
Molecule: ribosomal RNA, 262 nt
Filed under: uncultured bacterium
Lineage: Bacteria
Description: partial 16S ribosomal RNA
Rfam family: Bacterial small subunit ribosomal RNA
Source: RNAcentral